GCCAGCUUAGCUCAGGGGUAGAGCAGCGGUUUUGUAAACCGCCGGUCGGGGGUUCAAAUCCCUCAGCUGGCUCCA
RNAcentral lists this transfer RNA (75 nucleotides) under Kiritimatiellia bacterium. RNAcentral's name for it is "Kiritimatiellae bacterium (wastewater metagenome) tRNA-Thr". It matches the Rfam family "tRNA". From Rfam's summary of the family: Transfer RNA (tRNA) molecules are approximately 80 nucleotides in length. Their secondary structure includes four short double-helical elements and three loops (D, anti-codon, and T loops). Further hydrogen bonds mediate the characteristic L-shaped molecular structure. tRNAs have two regions of fundamental functional importance: the anti-codon, which is responsible for specific mRNA codon recognition, and the 3' end, to which the tRNAs corresponding amino acid is attached (by aminoacyl-tRNA synthetases). tRNAs cope with the degeneracy of the genetic code in two manners: having more than one tRNA (with a specific anti-codon) for a particular amino acid; and 'wobble' base-pairing, i.e. permitting non-standard base-pairing at the 3rd anti-codon position. Lineage: Bacteria; Pseudomonadati; Kiritimatiellota; Kiritimatiellia. The record is from RNAcentral.